GACGAACGCUGGCGGCGUGCUUAACACAUGCAAGUGGAGCGACGAACCGGGGCUUGCCCCGGGGCAGAGCCGCGAACGGGUGAGUAACACGUGGGUAACCCACCUCGAUGACUGGGACAACCCGAGGAAACUCGGGCUAAUACCAGAUGUGAUCCUUUUCCGUAAGGAAAAUGAUGAAAGAUAGCUUCGGCCUUCGCAUCGAGACGGGCCCGCGGCCCAUUAGCUUGUUGGUGGGGUAACGGCCUACCAAGGCAUCGAUGGGUAGCUGGUCUGAGAGGACGAUCAGCCACACUGGGACUGAGACACGGCCCAGACUCCUACGGGAGGCAGCAGUGGGGAAUCUUGCACAAUGCGCGAAAGCGUGAUGCAGCAACGCCGCGUGGGGGAAGACGGCCU
Molecule: ribosomal RNA, 396 nt
Filed under: uncultured bacterium
Lineage: Bacteria
Description: bacterial SSU rRNA
Rfam family: Bacterial small subunit ribosomal RNA
Source: RNAcentral